Molecule: long non-coding RNA, 495 nt
Organism: Symsagittifera roscoffensis
Lineage: Eukaryota; Metazoa; Xenacoelomorpha; Acoela; Convolutidae
Exons: 3
Source: RefSeq, a predicted model, not a curated record
GCUUAGUUAUUCCACUAUUCUCAAAAGUCCAAAUAAGCUGUUGUUACAAUUCCAGGUCAGCGCGUAACAUAACGUGGGACCCUUUUGGUGAACCUAGCUCAAAUAUUAACCCAGCCGCUUUGUGCAAACUAACGAGAAAUUGCUAGUUCUGGGAGUGGUUCCAAACGUCGUAAUUAAGGAGUCGUGAAUUUGACAUUUGGAGCUGCACUGUAUCAGCUGGUGGGGUUCGAUGUCAAACUGGAGACCCUCUCCACUCUCAUCUGGCAGAGACUCUACUGGCAGGACCAGUUCAUCCAGUGGGAUCCAGCAGAUUAUGAGGGCAUCGAGGUAAUCAGAGUAGCCCAGGCGUUUAUCUGGACCCCUGACUUGCUUCCUUACAACGACAUUGGAGUGUAUGACUCGAUCAAGUAUGCCAAGACUGUUCCUCUCUCUGUCACCCACGCUGGCUCUGUCACCUGGCUCAACCCCAUAGGACCCAUUAUACUCAAGCACACA